RNAcentral lists this ribosomal RNA (253 nucleotides) under uncultured bacterium. RNAcentral's name for it is "partial 16S ribosomal RNA". It matches the Rfam family "Bacterial small subunit ribosomal RNA", at positions 524 to 776 of the family's 1533-position model. The record is from RNAcentral.
UACGUAGGGCGCGAGCGUUGUCCGGAUUUAUUGGGCGUAAAGAGCUCGUAGGCGGUUUGUCGCGUCGGCUGUGAAAUCCCGGGGCUCAACUCCGGGUCUGCAGUCGAUACGGGCAGACUUGAGUGCGGUAGGGGAGACCGGAAUUCCUGGUGUAGCGGUGAAAUGCGCAGAUAUCAGGAGGAACACCGGUGGCGAAGGCGGGUCUCUGGGCCGUUACUGACGCUGAGGAGCGAAAGCGUGGGGAGCGAACAGG